AGAUUGAACGCUGGCGGCAGGCCUAACACAUGCAAGUCGAGCGGCAGCACGGGUACUUGUACCUGGUGGCGAGCGGCGGACGGGUGAGUAAUGCCUAGGAAUCUGCCUGGUAGUGGGGGAUAACGCUCGGAAACGGACGCUAAUACCGCAUACGUCCUACGGGAGAAAGCAGGGGACCUUCGGGCCUUGCGCUAUCAGAUGAGCCUAGGUCGGAUUAGCUAGGUUGGUGAGGUAAUGGCUCACCAAGGCGACGAUCCGUAACUGGUCUGAGAGGAUGAUCAGUCACACUGGAACUGAGACACGGU
RNAcentral lists this ribosomal RNA (305 nucleotides) under uncultured soil bacterium. RNAcentral describes it as "bacterial SSU rRNA". It matches the Rfam family "Bacterial small subunit ribosomal RNA", at positions 26 to 330 of the family's 1533-position model. The record is from RNAcentral.